This 1191-nucleotide long non-coding RNA is filed under the name Phasianus colchicus (ring-necked pheasant). RNAcentral's name for it is "lncRNA (ENSPCLG00000006872.1)". The record is from RNAcentral. Lineage: Eukaryota; Metazoa; Chordata; Aves; Galliformes; Phasianidae.
GGGCUCAGGAGAGCUGCUGGGGGGGGACAACUUCCCCGUAUAGGGCCCCAUAUCUCCUGCAAGCACAGCUAUAGAAAGACAGCCAUCCCUUCUCAUGAAACAGAGAUUUCAGCAUCAGCCCGAGGGCUUUUUGCCCAGGAAAUGACAGCACCCAGGAGGAGCUCUAAAUCAGCCAAAUCUCACUGACACGCACAAUGACGGCUCAGGCCAUGGUGAGCACCAGGCUCUCCAGCUCCGGGGUCAGCCAGGGACACAGCAGCUGAAUGAGGGACCCCCAGCUGAACGAGCAUAGCUUCCAAGGAUGGGCCCUGGGAGCAGGACACGGCUGGUGCUGUGCCCUUGGCCAGGAGGGCCGUUGCAGGGAGGCAGAUGUCAGCUCAGGAGGCUCUCGUUAACGCGGCUCCCGCUGUGUCCCUGCCCGGAUGACGAGCUUCCUAGGGAAGGAGGGGGGAGAACGACCUCCCCACCCUGCCAGCUUGGAGAACCUCACCCAAGCAGUGCCAGGAUGUGUUGUAUCGCGUUGCCACGGCAACUGACAUCUUACGAUGCUGAAGCAGGCGGAUGCGGAGUCAUGCCACAUGAAUCAUGCAGAUCAUCUGACCUCGGCGUGACGGGGACAGACAAAGAGCAGAGAUGUGCUCGCCAGGGCCAAGUCCUGAGUUCUGGCAGGGGAGGAGGUGACAGUGCUGUGGAAUGCUGUGCUGAACCCAGCAUGAAUCUGGAGCCUGGCACAGCCUGGCCUGGGGAUGCUGAGGGAGAAAUAAGUGGUUGGUCAAGCACCCUGUGUAUCAGUGGGCACAACAUCCCAGCAGCCGUUUGGACACGAGAAGUGCCUGGCAGAGAGCAGUCCCUGAGCUCUGCCCUAUGGCCUCUGCCAGGUGUAUGUCUGUCAUUGGGCUGGAGCACCUGGGCUGGCACCACAGACUCUCUGGUAGCUGUCAUCGCUCCCCACCAGGCACUGACUGCUUCUCUCCUCCCAACUUCAGCAGCUCAUCACCUUCCCCAGCUGCGCCUCAUCUCUGCAAUCACUCUGAGAAAAGGCACCCGCAGCCCAUCGUGCCCCAGGAGGGACAUUUAGGGACAGCCUCUCCGCUCUUUCCCAGGCUUGGAGGAAGCAGCCUCACGCGAUGCUCAGGCUCACUGGUAGCUCGGAGGCCUGAUGGUAAUAAAUGAGUCAGGAGCACAUCUGCA